Molecule: non-coding RNA, 294 nt
Organism: Lonchura striata (white-rumped munia)
Lineage: Eukaryota; Metazoa; Chordata; Aves; Passeriformes; Estrildidae
Source: RefSeq, a predicted model, not a curated record
GUAUGGGAUUUGUGGCUGCUAUGAGAUCAGCUGGCAUGUCACUGCAUGAGGAACCUCUGAGAAGGCAAGGGUGCCCAGCCAUAGGGAUCCUGACUUCCUUUUCAUGAGAGACAAAUCCAGGAAGAUCUCCAGCUUUCUUCUUUCCUGGGUGUUUCCUUCAGUGCUAAUCCAAAAAACUGUGAUGAAAGGAGGAGAGUGACCUGGAGAAAGGACAGGUACUCAAGGGAUCCCCUGAUCUUCUACUACUGAGAAUGAAGAAUAUGCACUGUGAGCACUUAAGUGUUCUGGUCAGCU